Molecule: ribosomal RNA, 498 nt
Filed under: uncultured bacterium
Lineage: Bacteria
Description: partial 16S ribosomal RNA
Rfam family: Bacterial small subunit ribosomal RNA
Source: RNAcentral
GAUGAACGCUAGCGGCAGGCCUAAUACAUGCAAGUCGGACGGGAUUGAGAAGCCUGCUUUUCAUGAGAGUGGCGCACGGGUGCGUAACACGUAUGUAACCUACCUUAAUCAGGGGGAUAGCCUCUCGAAAGAGAGAUUAACACCGCAUAAAAUCAAUUUAUGGCAUCAUAGAAUGAUCAAAUAUUUAUAGGAUUAAGAUGGGCAUGCGGAACAUUAGCUAGUUGGUAAGGUAACGGCUUACCAAGGCUACGAUGUUUAGGGGAUCUGAGAGGAUGACCCCCCACACUGGUACUGAGACACGGACCAGAAGCCUACGGGAGGCAGCAGUAAGAAAUAUUGGUCAAUGGGGGCAAGCCUGAACCAGCCAUGCCGCGUGCAGGAAGACGGCCCUACGGGUUGCAAACUGCUUUUGUACCGGAAUAAACCUUUGUAUGUAUACGAAGCUGAAUGUACGGUAAGAAUAAGGAUCGGCUAACUCCGUGCCAGCAGCCGCCGUAA